GACGAACGCUGGCGGCGUGCUUAACACAUGCAAGUCGAACGGAAAGGCCCUGCUUGCAGGGUACUCGAGUGGCGAACGGGUGAGUAACACGUGGGUGAUCUGCCCUGCACUUCGGGAUAAGCCUGGGAAACUGGGUCUAAUACCGGAUAGGAGCCAUUUUUAGUGUGAUGGUUGGAAAGUUUUUUCGGUGUAGGAUGAGCUCGCGGCCUAUCAGCUUGUUGGUGGGGUAAUGGCCUACCAAGGCGGCGACGGGUAGCCGGCCUGUGAGGGUGGACGGCCACAUUGGGACUGAGAGACGGCCCAGACUCCUACGGGAGGCAGCAGGGGGGAAUAUUGCACAAUGGGCGCAAGCCUGAUGCAGCGACGCCGCGUGGGGGAUGACGGCCUUCUGGUUGUAAACUCCUUUCGCUAGGGACGAAGCUUUUUGUGACGGUACCUAGAUAAGAAGCACCGGCUAACUACGUG
RNAcentral lists this ribosomal RNA (465 nucleotides) under uncultured bacterium. Its description in RNAcentral is "partial 16S ribosomal RNA". It matches the Rfam family "Bacterial small subunit ribosomal RNA", at positions 28 to 507 of the family's 1533-position model. The record is from RNAcentral.